RNAcentral lists this ribosomal RNA (429 nucleotides) under Chloroflexota bacterium. Its description in RNAcentral is "Chloroflexi bacterium partial 16S ribosomal RNA". It matches the Rfam family "Bacterial small subunit ribosomal RNA", at positions 355 to 776 of the family's 1533-position model. The record is from RNAcentral. Lineage: Bacteria; Bacillati; Chloroflexota.
UGGGGAAUAUUGCACAAUGGGCGCAAGCCUGAUGCAGCCAUGCCGCGUGUAUGAAGAAGGCCUUCGGGUUGUAAAGUACUUUCAGCGGGGAGGAAGGGAGUAAAGUUAAUACCUUUGCUCAUUGACGUAACCCGCAGAAGAAGCACCGGCUAACUCCGUGCCAGCAGCCGCGGUAAUACGGAGGGUGCAAGCGUUAAUCGGAAUUACUGGGCGUAAAGCGCACGCAGGCGGUUUGUUAAGUCAGAUGUGAAAUCCCCGGGCUCAACCUGGGAACUGCAUCUGAUACUGGCAAGCUUGAGUCUCGUAGAGGGGGGUAGAAUUCCAGGUGUAGCGAUGAAAUGCGUAGAGAUCUGGAGGAAUACCGGUGGCGAAGGCGGCCCCCUGGACGAAGACUGACGCUCAGGUGCGAAAGCGUGGGGAGCAAACAGG